Molecule: transfer RNA, 76 nt
Filed under: Bdellovibrionales bacterium RIFOXYC1_FULL_54_43
Lineage: Bacteria; Pseudomonadati; Bdellovibrionota; Bdellovibrionia; Bdellovibrionales
Also listed under: 2 other names
Description: tRNA-Thr
Rfam family: tRNA
About the family: Transfer RNA (tRNA) molecules are approximately 80 nucleotides in length. Their secondary structure includes four short double-helical elements and three loops (D, anti-codon, and T loops). Further hydrogen bonds mediate the characteristic L-shaped molecular structure. tRNAs have two regions of fundamental functional importance: the anti-codon, which is responsible for specific mRNA codon recognition, and the 3' end, to which the tRNAs corresponding amino acid is attached (by aminoacyl-tRNA synthetases). tRNAs cope with the degeneracy of the genetic code in two manners: having more than one tRNA (with a specific anti-codon) for a particular amino acid; and 'wobble' base-pairing, i.e. permitting non-standard base-pairing at the 3rd anti-codon position.
Source: RNAcentral
GCCGAUGUAGCUCAGUUGGUAGAGCAACGCUUUCGUAAAGCGUAGGUCCCCGGUUCGAGUCCGGGCAUCGGCUCCA